Molecule: ribosomal RNA, 407 nt
Filed under: uncultured Brevibacillus sp.
Lineage: Bacteria; Bacillati; Bacillota; Bacilli; Caryophanales; Paenibacillaceae
Description: bacterial SSU rRNA
Rfam family: Bacterial small subunit ribosomal RNA
Source: RNAcentral
GACGGUACCUGACGAGAAAGCCACGGCUAACUACGUGCCAGCAGCCGCGGUAAUACGUAGGUGGCAAGCGUUGUCCGGAAUUAUUGGGCGUAAAGCGCGCGCAGGCGGCUAUGUAAGUCUGGUGUCAAAGCCCGGGGCUCAACCCCGGUACGCAUCGGAAACUGUGUAGCUUGAGUGCAGAAGAGGAAAGCGGUAUUCCACGUGUAGCGGUGAAAUGCGUAGAGAUGUGGAGGAACACCAGUGGCGAAGGCGGCUUUCUGGUCUGUAACUGACGCUGAGGCGCGAAAGCGUGGGGAGCAAACAGGAUUAGAUACCCUGGUAGUCCACGCCGUAAACGAUGAGUGCUAGGUGUUGGGGGUUUCAAUACCCUCAGUGCCGCAGCUAACGCAAUAAGCACUCCGCCUGGG